Molecule: long non-coding RNA, 539 nt
Organism: Cuculus canorus (common cuckoo)
Lineage: Eukaryota; Metazoa; Chordata; Aves; Cuculiformes; Cuculidae
Exons: 3
Source: RefSeq, a predicted model, not a curated record
UCCUCACUGGCACCCCAUCAAAAUGCAGAUCCUUUAUGAAGAGCUUUGAAUCCCUGCAUGCUGGCAGUCCAUCAAAGAUCGGCCUCAGCAGUACAUGCUCCUCAACGAUACCAAAACGUUCUAAAUUCUUUGCCUAGAGGAAUGCAACAGGAAAAACAAGAAAUUAGUACAGGGAAUUCAAGAGUUCCCACUCUAUAAAGGCCACAAGACUAGGCUGCGAUAAACAAGUUGGGUGAGGAGUAAGAAAAGAAACCACCGCGAGCUAUGGAAGAGAGAGAAAAUCCUUUAAAAACAAAGAUGGGAACCUAGAGAUGACCUGAAGUUUUCUUGUUUCUCUGUGCCACAACUGGACAAAGCGUCGUGCGUCUCACUACAACGGCUACUUCCGCUGGAUCAGACGGCACGGCUAGCCAAAUCUUGUGCCCACAGAGGUGAUGACAGCGAAGGAAUGAGUGACUAGGUGCAACUCUGUGUAUUUCUGCCCACCGCGUGACUGGACAAAACCUUUUUGGGUAGAAGCAGAAAGCAAACAAACAUCA